GCCACUAUUAUAUGAGCUUUCAAGGGUUAAAUUUUAGCCCGAAUUAUGGGGCCGCCAUGUGUUUGGAACACGAAUCUAUCUCUGAAGGUUCUCAAAUCAAAACAUUGGCUCUAUCAUCGUUUGUGGGAAUCAGAUUCUUUCUCCCGGGCCUCAUUAUCGUUAAUAAUGGAAAUGUACCUUUGGCUUUCCUAAAGGCACCUGGACUUACGAUCGCUCUCUCUGAUCUCUCUGGCUUCCCACCUGGAGAAGAGCGUGUACACGUUUCCCUGGUUCAAGCCUUGGGACUUUUCGAAGGAUGAAUGGAAGGGCAGGGCUCUGGGCAGAGUGGAGAUGGACCAGCAGGAGGCUCGCCGACCAGCCUGGAUCGAGGAGAAAGAAUGGCCAGCUUGAGGGUAGCUGGGGGUCCCGAGAUGGAGUCAUUCAGGGCACUAAGGAGUGAGAUGUGGGGACAAAGGUUGCAACAGGAAAUCUUUCCCUUACUGUUGGUUGUGGUCAAAAACAUUUGAAACACAUUGGUUUAAAGAGCAUCAGUGUUGAGUGAGCAUUGGUGAUUGCACCUCCUCCAAUCAAGCUGUGGGAUAUCUUUGAGGAGAGCCAAGCUUUCAAGUAAAAGUGAAGAGCUGGAGAGAGCUUUGAAGAGGAGGAGGGAGAAAGAAGCACGGCCUUGCUACUUGGAGAGGAUCAGAGAAGACAGGAAAAAAGGCAGUAGGAAAAGCAGCCAGAGGAUAGAGAGGCUGCUUACUAUUGUGAAAGAACACUGGAUUAGGAGUUAGACGAAAGACCGCGGUUUGAGUUUCAUCUUUGCCACCUAAACCCUUACAGGUUCUUUUCAUUUCCAUGGAAAGGUUAGAAUCAGCUUGUCAAUUUCCACAACAAAGCUAACUGGGAUUUCGCCCAUUUACAGAGGAUUGAAAGAUGGCCCCCAAAAAGGCACACACAGGAGAAAACAUACGACACACACAGAGGAGGAGGCAAUGUGAAAAUGGAGGACGAGAUUGGAGUGAUGUGGCCAAAGCCAAAGGAGCUGAGGAACCCAAAGAAUGCCAACAGCCCCCAAAAGCUGGAAGAGGCGAGGAAGGACUCUGCUCUAGAGCCACUAGAGGGAGUGAAGCCUCACUGACACCUUGGUCUCGGACUUCUGGCCUCCAGACGGUGAGAGGAUAGAUUUCUUAUUUUAGCCACAAAUUUUUGGUAAUUUAUUACAGUGCCCAUAGGAAACAAAUACACUCAUUGUCACGUUGAGGAAGUUCCAUUCUUUUCCUAGUUUUUUGUUUUUCGGGUUUUUUUUUUUUUUCCCCAAAAGUAGAUAUUGGAUUUUGUCAAAUGCCUUUUCUGCAUCCUUUGAAAAAUAUUCUUUUCCUGGUACUUUGUUAAUGUGGCCAUAAUCUAUAUAGACCCUCUGUUCACAUAUCUUAGUCCGAUCAUAGCUGUUACCCUAGAAACACUUGUUGGUGAAAGUGUUGGGUCCCAACACGUUGUAUAAAAUCGUAAACAUGUCAGCAUGAAUCUUCUUGCUUUAUAUAUGCUAAAGAGAUUUUGAGAAGUCAUUGAAGAGUCUAUAGAACAAAACUAUCUCAAAAGACUUAGAAGAGAAAAACAGUGAUCACGGAAUUUAUCUUGAGUGGUUCUCUAUAACAGGGACCACACGGGUAACCCUUGGGUCCAGUUUAGCCUU
This is a long non-coding RNA of Equus caballus (horse), 1675 nucleotides long. Lineage: Eukaryota; Metazoa; Chordata; Mammalia; Perissodactyla; Equidae. The record is from Ensembl.